Molecule: ribosomal RNA, 253 nt
Filed under: uncultured bacterium
Lineage: Bacteria
Description: partial 16S ribosomal RNA
Rfam family: Bacterial small subunit ribosomal RNA
Source: RNAcentral
UACAGAGGUCUCAAGCGUUGUUCGGAUUCAUUGGGCGUAAAGGGUGCGUAGGUGGCGCUGUAAGUCGGGUGUGAAAUUUCGGAGCUUAACUCCGAAACUGCAUUCGAUACUGCGGUGCUUGAGGACUGGAGAGGAGACUGGAAUUCAUGGUGUAGCAGUGAAAUGCGUAGAGAUCAUGAGGAAGACCAGUGGCGAAGGCGGGUCUCUGGACAGUUCCUGACACUGAGGCACGAAGGCCACGGGAGCAAACGGG